GAUGAACGCUGGCGGCGUGCUUAACACAUGCAAGUCGAACGGUGAAGCAGGAGCUUGCUCUUGUGGAUCAGUGGCGAACGGGUGAGUAACACGUGAGCAACCUGCCCCUGACUCUGGGAUAAGCGCUGGAAACGGCGUCUAAUACUGGAUAUGUGAUGUGACCGCAUGGUCUGCAUCUGGAAAGAAUUUCGGUUGGGGAUGGGCUCGCGGCCUAUCAGCUUGUUGGUGAGGUAAUGGCUCACCAAGGCGUCGACGGGUAGCCGGCCUGAGAGGGUGACCGGACACACUGGGACUGAGACACGGCCCAGACUCCUACGGGAGGCAGCAGUGGGGAAUAUUGCACAAUGGGCGGAAGCCUGAUGCAGCAACGCCGCGUGAGGGAUGACGGCCUUCGCGUUGUAAACCUCUUUUAGCAGGGAAGAAGCGAAAGUGACGGUACCUGUAGAAAAAGCACCGGCUAACUACGUGCCAGCAGCCGCCGCAG
Molecule: ribosomal RNA, 484 nt
Filed under: uncultured bacterium
Lineage: Bacteria
Description: partial 16S ribosomal RNA
Rfam family: Bacterial small subunit ribosomal RNA
Source: RNAcentral